GUCUACGGCCAUACCACGUUGAAAACACCGGUUCUCGUCCGAUCACCGAAAUUAAGCAACGUCGGGCCCGGAUAGUACUUGGAUGGGUGACCGCCUGGGGAACACCGGGUGCAGUAGACA
RNAcentral lists this ribosomal RNA (120 nucleotides) under Haliotis rubra (blacklip abalone). Lineage: Eukaryota; Metazoa; Mollusca; Gastropoda; Lepetellida; Haliotidae. The record is from RNAcentral.